GAGUUCGAGUCUCCUAACCUCCACUGACCGAACUCAAUCUCCAUCGUCCGGUUUUGGAGGAUGAACUCGAGUGUUUUGGUGUGAUUUAGAUGUGUCCGCUGGAUUGAACCCAGCUUCCUGUCAUUCUAAAGACGAAAUUUUAUUCGUUUUUAGUUGAUAAGAUGCUGGGCUCGAACUGAGAGAUCAGUUCUGAGUUCUAGCA
Molecule: unclassified non-coding RNA, 202 nt
Filed under: uncultured cyanobacterium
Lineage: Bacteria; Bacillati; Cyanobacteriota
Description: partial 16S-23S ribosomal RNA intergenic spacer
Source: RNAcentral